GAAAUGCGAUAAGUAGUGUGAAUUGCAGAAUUCAGUGAAUCAUCGAAUCUUUGAACGCACAUUGCGCCCUUUGGUAUUCCUUAGGGCAUGCCUGUUCGAGCGUCAUUUGUAACCUCAAGCUCAGCUUGGUGUUGGGUGUCUGUCCCCGCCCCGCGCGGGGACUCGCCUCAAAAACAUUGGCGGCCGGUACGUUGGCUUCGAGCGCAGCAGAAACGCGAACUCGAGGCCCGACGGAUCGGCGACCAGAAGUCACUUCUUCCACAGCUUGACCUCGGAUCAGGUAGGGAUGCCCGCUGAACUUAAGC
RNAcentral lists this unclassified non-coding RNA (305 nucleotides) under plant metagenome. RNAcentral describes it as "partial contains 5.8S ribosomal RNA, internal transcribed spacer 2, and large subunit ribosomal RNA". The stretch from base 1 to 105 matches the Rfam family "5.8S ribosomal RNA", at positions 50 to 154 of the family's 154-position model. The record is from RNAcentral.